CCCUGACAGCCGCAUGAGGCGGCUGACUCUAGCCACGACAGGAGAUCUCAAUG
Molecule: non-coding RNA, 53 nt
Submitted as: unclassified sequences
Source: Rfam